Molecule: ribosomal RNA, 550 nt
Filed under: uncultured bacterium
Lineage: Bacteria
Description: bacterial SSU rRNA
Rfam family: Bacterial small subunit ribosomal RNA
Source: RNAcentral
UAGGGAAUCUUCGGCAAUGGACGGAAGUCUGACCGAGCAACGCCGCGUGAGUGAAGAAGGUUUUCGGAUCGUAAAGCUCUGUUGUAAGAGAAGAACGAGUGUGAGAGUGGAAAGUUCACACUGUGACGGUAUCUUACCAGAAAGGGACGGCUAACUACGUGCCAGCAGCCGCGGUAAUACGUAGGUCCCGAGCGUUGUCCGGAUUUAUUGGGCGUAAAGCGAGCGCAGGCGGUUAGAUAAGUCUGAAGUUAAAGGCUGUGGCUUAACCAUAGUAGGCUUUGGAAACUGUUUAACUUGAGUGCAAGAGGGGAGAGUGGAAUUCCAUGUGUAGCGGUGAAAUGCGUAGAUAUAUGGAGGAACACCGGUGGCGAAAGCGGCUCUCUGGCUUGUAACUGACGCUGAGGCUCGAAAGCGUGGGGAGCAAACAGGAUUAGAUACCCUGGUAGUCCACGCUGUAAACGAUGAGUGCUAGGUGUUAGACCCUUUCCGGGGUUUAGUGCCGUAGCUAACGCAUUAAGCACUCCGCCUGGGGGAGUACGACCGCGGUUGA